UUCUGGCACUGGUGGGCGAGCCCACCGGCGGCAGCUUCAAGCUGUCGCUGGCCGGAGAACCGACCGGAAACAUCCCGUUCAACGCGACCCAGGGCC
Molecule: transfer RNA, 96 nt
Filed under: Mycobacterium phage Phlegm
Lineage: Duplodnaviria; Heunggongvirae; Uroviricota; Caudoviricetes
Description: tRNA-Sec
Source: RNAcentral